Molecule: transfer RNA, 69 nt
Filed under: alpha proteobacterium BAL199
Lineage: Bacteria; Pseudomonadati; Pseudomonadota; Alphaproteobacteria
Description: tRNA-Ala
Source: RNAcentral
AGAGUUCUGGCUUCUUGCGUCGCGUUCGCAAUGCGAAGGUCGGGAGUUCGAUCCUCCUCGGCUCCACCA